Molecule: long non-coding RNA, 895 nt
Organism: Gymnodraco acuticeps
Lineage: Eukaryota; Metazoa; Chordata; Actinopteri; Perciformes; Bathydraconidae
Exons: 2
Source: RefSeq, a predicted model, not a curated record
ACUGGGCUCCUUUCAAAACUAAAUCUGUCAGAUGGUCUUGGAGAAGAUAAACUGGCCCACACAGGAUGAGGAUGAAGACAGUGAAGUCUCUUUGGAGGAUUCCUGUAGGAUCACAGGAUUCCGGCGCACAUUUAUUGAGAUGGCAUCUCCCCUUAUCCUUGGGAAACUUGUGCAGUUCUGGAUAGGAUGGAAUGUGCUUCCUAGACAUGGCCUGGAUGUGACCGUGGUGGAGAGCAACUUCCCCAGCUCUUCCACAUGCUUUCACCAGCUGAAACUUCCAGGACAUUACAAAGAGUACUGUACCAGCGUCUUCAUGUAACUCAGUCAAAUAUUGUCACCUAAUCGUCCUAGUCGAAACUUUAAAAGACUACAUUUCCCACAGCAACAGCCUUUUGAUACACACACAUUUACUGUAGCAUUUCAGUCAAUAAGCCCACAGUUUGUACAUAGACAUUCCACACAUUGGACAGAGGGCCAUCAGGGUCUGGAAGUCUUUCCACUUCCUGGUCAGUCAGUGAACAUUGCAGCUGAACUUCAGGAACCACAACAUGAGGCUGGCGAUGAGCACAUGGUCCAGUCCAGUCAACUCCAAACUCAAUGUCAACCUGCAAUUGCAAGAGCUAAAGUUAGAGUCAACCAAAAUCAAAGUUUUAAUAUAUUUGUCAGUUAAUUCAUUUUAUAUAACCUAAAGUUUUGUAUCAUCUCCUGGAAUUCCUGAUUAAUGUCUCAUGAACAGCUAUGACAUCAAUCAAAUAAUUAGAGAGAGCAGAAAGCCCUGAUGUAUCAUUAUCUUCCUUAACCGCUUGUUCUGGUUGAUCACAGCAUUUUAGGAAUACCUCAUAGAAGUGUUUAAAGUGCCGAUGAUAUGCAGAAUAAAAUAAUUCCAUCACAUUCA